This 402-nucleotide ribosomal RNA is filed under the name uncultured bacterium. Its description in RNAcentral is "bacterial SSU rRNA". It matches the Rfam family "Bacterial small subunit ribosomal RNA", at positions 358 to 774 of the family's 1533-position model. The record is from RNAcentral.
GGAAUAUUGGGCAAUGGGCGAAAGCCUGACCCAGCAACGCCGCGUGAAGGAAGAAGGUCUUCGGAUUGUAAACAUCUGUCCUAUGGGACGAAGGAAGUGACGGUACCAUAGGAGGAAGCCCCGGCUAACUACGUGCCAGCAGCCGCGGUAAUACGUAGGGGGCGAGCGUUGUCCGGAAUUACUGGGCGUAAAGGGUGCGUAGGCGGAAUGUCAAGUCAGAUGUGAAAUACCUGGGCUUAACCCGGGGGCUGCAUUUGAAGCUGACAUCCUUGAGUGCAGGAGAGGCAAGUGGAAUUCCUAGUGUAGCGGUGAAAUGCGUAGAUAUUAGGAGGAACACCGGUGGCGAAGGCGACUUGCUGGACUGUAACUGACGCUGAGGCACGAAAGCGUGGGGAGCAAACA